RNAcentral lists this long non-coding RNA (12184 nucleotides) under Malus domestica (apple). RNAcentral describes it as "long non-coding RNA (MDOM_LNC014413)". The record is from RNAcentral. Lineage: Eukaryota; Viridiplantae; Streptophyta; Magnoliopsida; Rosales; Rosaceae.
AUCUUGUUUUGUGUUCGGAAAUAAUGGUUAUGGGGGUGUCAUUUGUGGUUUGUUAAUUUCCUCCUCCCUGUGAUGGGUGGUUUAUUUGCCAUGUUCUCUUGAGAGUAUAUUGGGCAUAUAUACAAGUUUGUUUAGGGUUUCCGUUAUAGGGUUCUCUUUGGUUUCGGAGGACCUUGAGUUUCUUUUGUAUGUUAUCUAAACAUUAUUGUUGUUAAUAAGAUAUUUGUUCUUCCUUUGUAUUCCCUUCGUGUGGUCUCUGUAUAUAUACACACAUGCUUUGCAUAUUUAUGAACCGGAUUAUAUGUUGAAUGGUUCUUUGUAAAUUUGUUUUAUGGCACUAUUGAAGAAGCAAAUGAAGUAAUGUAAGAAAAUGCUCAAGGAAUAAUCAUUUCCUUAAUUAAUCAGGACGAUCACUUGGAUCUAUGUACCAUAUAGUGUUGUACAUGCGUGAAAGUGAAGAGUAACAUGGAGGUGGGAGUGAUAAGUGGAGUAACAUGAUGUCAAAAUGCGCAGAGGUGCAAAAGGAGGGAGGCUUGGUUGGUCAAGAUAGGAAUAUCAAACAUAUCUCUUAAUUUAAACUUGUAAUAUUAUAAGUCUAUAUACAUUAUACAGCAACAAAAGUAGUAGCAUAGCUUAAUUUCUAAUUUUGCCUCUCUUUUCUUAUCGUGAGUUUGUUCUAAUAUGUAAAGACAAAUGUUAACACAAAAUGUGGAAGGGUUCUUUGAAUCAAUUAAUUCAAUAAUAUUGUUACAACAUUUACAUUGUCAUCUUGUUGUAUUUACUUGGAUCUCACCUGCUUGCUUCUUUAUACCUACAUUAUUUCAAUUGGACCCAUAAUAUCAAAAGAUGAUGUCCGUUGGGAAAAUGAUGGAUCGUGCUUGCACCACUCAUCUUAUUAUCGAUCGUCCGUUUCUUACAACUCAUGAGCUGAUGCUUCAUAUUAUUACAACCUAAUAAUAUAACAUAUAUUAUUUUCAAUCAACAUCUUUUCAUAUAUAGUUCAAGAGCUUAGGAAGCCGCCAAAUCCGAAUCCUAUUAAGAAUCAGAACUUGACGACGGGUACCCAAUUCCAUGGCGUUUAUUAGCUAUAUUUACCACUUUGAGUCUUGUGAAUCAAGUCAUAGUUCAAGAGCUUAAGAAGCCGCCGACUCCGGAUCCUGUGGAGAAUCAGAACUUGACGACGAAUACCCAGUUCCAUGGCGUUUAUUAGCUAUAUUUACCACUUCAAGUCAAAGUUCAAGAGCUUAGGAAGCCGCCGACUCUGAAUCCUGUGAAGAAUCAGAACUUGACGACGGGUACCCAAUUCCAUGGCGUUUAUUAGGGAACACAACGAAAACAGUUCCGGCUAUUGCACCAAUAACCGGAGGCAACACCUGUAGCAAAACCUUCUCAGUGGACUCGAACCCUGGAUAAUAGCACCUGACAGUGUUGGCGUCCAAAAGUGACACAACUGCAAACACAAUCAAGGAAAAGAAGGCAUGCACAAAGUCCCCAAACCUAAGCUUGUAAGCAGACAAAUCCACAGAGUUUGAACUCGUCGAGGGCCAAAGCCCCUUGCAUGUUGCCACCCCAUAGUGUGUUUGUUCAUCACUGCCUUUGUAACUGUCUGUAAAGGAAGAAAAGCAGCAGGAGAAGCCGCAAACACCGAUGAGAACGGCGCUUAGGUAUUUGUUGACAGCAGUGCAUUUGCCGUUGUUGGUCAAGACAGGGUUGAGGAACUGGAACAAGAAGACCGUGCCUGUCGGGAGGAGCUUGAUGAGGUUGCCUGCGCCUGUUAAUGUUUUGUCUUUGACGCUUUUGUUGGUUGUGGUGGUUGUCUUGGAUUUAUAGGAAGAGCUCGUAGAACCCCCCAUUUUUCGGAAUUAAAGUAUUGUUUUGACGGAGUUUAUAGAAAUGAUAUUUGAGAAUUGUGUUGUAAAUUGUGGUUUAUGCGAGAGAGAAAUUUGGUGUGUAUUUAUAGAGAAAUAUAAGAGAGGCAAUUGGUUGGGAGAUGAAUUGCUUUCACGUUAACUGAAAAUGUGGCGUUAUCUUGUUGAGAUGGAAAUGUUGCUUUUACUCUUAGAAAGGGCGGGCUUAAUUUCUAAUCCAAGUUUUGAGUAUUAAUAUUGUGGAAUUUUUGUACUCUGGAAGGUUAACAAAUCUAAUUAAUGACUUUAGAUGGGCUUAGGAGAUGAGUUGAAAUUAAAUAGAUUCAAAGAUGUAAAUGAUUCACUUCUCAAAAUUGGGCUGCACGUAUUGUAUUGCUCUCAAUAAAUUGAUUUCAAGGCUAAAUAGUGUUUGGUCCAUACAUUCACUCUCUAUUCUCUUCGAUUCAUCUGAUCCCUGUAUUGGAGAUCUCUACCCCAAUAUAUUGUCCUCUCUCUCUCUCUUUUGGCCUCUCAAACCAGCAUUUAAUAUGUCAACCAUUUGCACUAGCUUACUGACACAUUUCCACCUAUUCGGCUAGACCCUCGUCAGUGAAGUGAUGUUUUAGCAGUCGGCGUGGCGCUCCUUUUAAGAUUCAAGCAGCCCGAUUUUCCCGCUCGGACCUUGGUUACUCUGCCCCGCCUUCCCAAGCACUCUCCCGAUAGCCUUUAUGUCCCAUCCUAGGCCUCUGCUAUCAAUUGCAAGUGGCCAUAUGGUCUGAGUAGCACCUGAAUGGUUUUACCUUUGGAGACUUGUGUCAUAUAGCUGUGCUCGCUCACAUGUUCCACGCAGUCGGGUAGUCCUUCUUUUGUCUCAGUCGGCCUGAGCACUCGGGAAGGCCUCUUCUGACCAUUUAGGUCUUGGGCUUCUUGGUCUUUCCUUAGGCUUAUGUAGUUGGGUGGGCCUAAAUGGACCCAAUAUUAACAUGAAUAAAUAAUAAACAAGAUAAAUUAGUGAUUAGAUUGUUGUGCAAUCGUAUAAUAUUUAAAUUAUAUCAAAAUACAGACGAAGUUAGGUCAGUUGGUUAGGACAAUGUGCCCAUCCAUUUUCAUUCAGACUCAAAUUAUUUUCUUGUAAAUGAGCUAUUUGUUGCCCAUCCAUUUUCAUUCAAACUCAAAUUCUUUUCUUGUAAAUGAGCUAUUUGUUGAUUCCCCUUCCCCCCCUGGCGCGUGUGCGAGCGCGCGCACAGAGAAUGUAAUUGGCUAAAAUUAAAGUUUAAGGGGGGGAAGGGAAAGGAAAAAUCGACAAAUACCUCCUUGUAAAUUAUAAUAUUGCAAUUAAGAGUUGUUAUUAACGUCGAUUGUCAAACACAGGACUGAAUAUCAUGCAUGUCCGGCAGUUAAGAGUUGUUAUUAACAUUUAAUGAUAUGUGAGGAUCAAAUGCCUAUUAAUCACAAGAUUAUAUUAUUUUAGGAAAUGGCAAAAGACCAAGUGCAAGUUAAAUUUGGGAUAACUCAAAGUAAAAAAAUUUGGGAUAACUCAUUCUUUAAUGAACAAAUUUCAAAAACCUUAGACAUUUGACUUAAUUCCAAAAUAAAAUAAGUAGAUUUUUGUGGUUCAGGUAACUUAAGCGUCUACAUUUAUUUACGUAUAUUCUUUGAGAUUUAAUUUUCACUUCAUAGAAUUUCUUGUAUUAGAAAAAAAAUUUAGAAACUCUCCAUAAGAUUUUGAGAAGGAGUGAAAGUAUGAUUAGUUGUAUAUUAUUGAUGGUUUUAUACCAUCAACAUUGAACAAUGACGUUGUAAUUUUCAAAACUUGCAUGGAUGUAGUGUUAUUAUUUUCUUGUUUAGUGCACGAAGAGUGCAUCUGAGGAGGGUUUAUUUUAUUUUUUAAGAAAAAACGUUAAAGUUGCAAAUGUACCCGCAAGUCAUGGGAAGAUGAAAAAAAAAAAAGCUUAAGACAUUGACACCAAUACCAGUAAGGGGCCGCUGUAUUUUGUUGGAGCCAGCAAAAUUGAAGCCACUUGAGUCAGUCAUACCAAGAGCCGCCAAUUUUUAUUUUGACUCGAGAGGCUGUUGCACAAUAUAUGUUUGUUCACUAUCAUUUAUUAUGGUAUAUGCUCAUCAUUCUAUUUAUCAUCGUUAGAUGAGUUUGAAUUUUGAAAUUUUAGAUAGGCACAAAUCUUGAAAUUCAAAUUCAUUUAAUAAUGAUAAAUAAGGUGCUAAGCAUACACCACACUAAAGGGCGAUCAACAAAAAUACACUCUAAUAUAUGGGGGUUUGCAGGGUAAAAUAGCACCUUCAAUUCUGCACACACAAUCUUUGAGUGGGGAGGGUGUAAACAAUAAAUCAGUAAUCUAGAAACUAAUUUGCUUAGUCCUUUUAGUCAUAAACGAGGGACGAGGGGCUGCCUACACGGGCAUGAAUCACAUGAUCAGACAUAUCCCGAUUCCCUGGCCACAUGUAUAUCCUGCAUCUUUGUCAUUUAUUAUUUCAUUCCACCGGACGGACUCGAUCAUUCAUUGAUCAAUUAGUUUUAUUAUAUAUAUUAUAAACUGAGAAUAAAAUUCAUAGUUUAAUUUAAUUGUACGCAGACUGUCUUUUUUCAUUAACCUACUAAUCCACUGAUAAUAUUAUCUAAUCACAUAUUUUAUUGCUAAAAACUACUGGUUGGCCACUCCCAACUCCAAGGUCCAAAGUCCAAAGGCCAGCCAAAUGAUUAGCUUUGUAACGGUCCUUAUUCACGUCCUUCUGAAUUCUGACCAGAAACCUUUACAAAAAUGGUCCAUGCCUAAUGCCCUAAACGCACUCACAAGUCACAACAGACAGACAGGCUCACAAAUUUAGUAGGGCGGGGGCGAGAGGGGGGAGAGAGAGAGAGAGAGAGAGAGAGAGAGAGAGAGAGAGAGAGAGAGAGAGAGAGAGAGAGAGAGCGAGAGAGCGAGCGCUUUAGCAAUGGAGCAUCAGAGAUUGUCAAGUGGAAGCAGAUGGAGAGGGAAGCCUAUUCGAUGCAGAGGUUUUCUUUUCUUUUCUUUUUUUUUCUCUUUUUUUGAUUAUCAAUUAUUGAUUAACUUUCUUGCUCUUGCUGCUAAUGAAUGCAUGAUUAAGUUCAAAUGAAUGGUAGUCUGACUCUGACUGAUAUGUGCUGCACUUGAACUUGCAUGUUAAUUAAUAGCUGCGGUGAGUCGGAAGGCAGGAGAGCCGCUAGUUCUAGAAGAUCCUGGUGGCGCCGCCAAUGCCUCAUGAAGUCCGCAUCCGAAUUAUCUGUACCUCUCUCUGCCACAGCGAUAUCACUUUCUGGAAAAUGAAGGUUCUUUCUUUCUUCUUUCCUCCUAAAUGAUCAAUUAACAAGUUGUUGGUGCUUAAUACUUCCAAAACUUUUUGUUUGUUAGGACUUUCCUGCAAUUUUCCCCAGAAUUCUUGGUCAUGAAGCUGUGGGGUGAGCUCCAACGCUUUCUUAUACGUCUUAUUGCCAUUUGCUUUCCAAGACAUGAUAAAGUAGCAAGUUAGGAACUGUCAAAAUUUAAAGGGAAGAAAGAAAGGCCAAGUCUAUCACUUUAUUAAUCUUUACCAUGUCAAAUGAUGUACGUAUACUUUUUUUAAUUUCCUUAUCAGCACAAGUAUAAUUGUUAAGGGAUCGGUCACGAACCACGUCUAACUUUUGCUGCAAAGGGCAGUUAGAAGCUUUGGUUGUCAUAUGUUUCAGACACAUUUGUUUGGUCAUCACUGCUGAUAUACUUGUCCAUCAAUGCUUAUUUGUCAUAGGGUUGUGGAGAGUGUUGGGGAGGAUGUCAAUGAGGUCUCAGAAGGAGAUACAGUCAUCCCAACUUUCAUGCCAGAAUGUGGAGAAUGCGUAGAUUGCAAAUCCACAAAGAGCCACCUAUGUACAAAACUCCCCUUCAAGCUCUCACCUUUUAUGCCAAGACACGAGACUAGCCGAUUCACAGACCUCAAUGGGGAGGUUCUAUACCAUUUUUUGUUCGUGUCUAGUUUUGCAGAGUAUACAGUGGUUGACAUAGCCCAUGUCACAAAAAUUGACCCUGCAAUACCUCCAAAUAGGGCAUGCCUUCUCGGCUGUGGAGUAUCAACAGGUACACUAGAAAUUCCUUAUAAUUCUUAUCCAGAUAGUGUGGUGUUUGCAAAAUCUAGAGUUGUUCUAAAAAAGCCAUUUUUUUGUGUGUACAUGUGUAGUCGCAUCUCACUAAAAAUUUAGAAAACAUCUAUAUCAAUCUUUGACAAAUUUGGCUUUAGGAGUUGGAGCUGCUUGGAAGACAGCAAAUGUGGAGAAGGGAUCAACUGUUGCUAUAUUUGGGCUAGGUUCAAUUGGAUUAGCUGUAUGUUCUUGCAGAACAUAGUCUGCAUAUCUUUUUGAUACUUUUCCUCUUUCUGAUAUGUGAUUGAUUGCAUCACGUCCAUGAUUGAAUUAUCCAGGUCGCGGAGGGAGCAAGACUUUGUGGAGCUACCAGAAUUAUUGGAGUCGAUGUAAAUCCGGACAAAUUUGAAAUUGGUAUUUGUAUCCUAUCAGAAGAACUUGAUCUUACUUUUGUUAGAGAAAAGCUUUGUAUUCAUGUGAAUGUACUUUCUGCAAAGAAUAUAGACCUUAUUGUUCUUUUUCUUAUCACCACAGGGAAGAAGUUGGGCCUCACCGACUUUGUGAAUGCUGCAACUUGUGAGAAUAAAUCUGCGAGCCAGGUUUUCUCUAAAACUAUGCCCGACUAUUCAGAGAUUGUAGUAUUUAAUUUUUCACCUCUGGUUCACUUGGUUAUCCUACUAAGCAUUUCCAGUUCUUUUUUCUCAUGUAAAACAGGUGAUCAUUGAGAUGACUGGCGGGGGUGCAGACUAUUGCUUUGAAUGUGUUGGACUGGCAUCAUUGGUGCAAGAAGCUUAUGCUUGUAGCCGAAAGGUUCUUGCUCGCGCUCUCUCUCUCUCUCUCUCUCUCUCUCUCUCUCUCUCUCUCUCUCUCUCCCCCUUACCGUUCCUAUCUCUCACACACGCACAGACAUUAUUUCUAUCAUGCCUUUUGCUGUCUUUUGUUGAACAUCUUUCAAUUUGCUGAUAUUUAGUUAUCAAAACAAGAAUGUGCAUAAUUCUGAUCAUGUGGGAGCUAGUUAUUUUAGAUUAUAACAUGCAUCAUAUUUUAUGUAAUUCUAUGCCCAGAAGGCUUGUGAACCUCCAUCAGCCAUCAGGAUGAAUUUAGGCGGCUAUAAUUUGUUUUCACUGAACAAUGUAUUAAUAUCAUUCUUUUCAACUGCAGGGUUGGGGAAAAACAAUCGUGUUAGGUGUGGACAAACCAGGGUCAAGGGUGAGCCUUCCCUCUAGUGAUAUCCUUCACAGCGGCAAAACCCUCAUGGGAUCCUUAUUCGGAGGACUCAAACCUAAAUCGGAUAUCCCUGCCCUCAUCAAUCGUUACAUGGACAAGGUGCUUUAGGAGUAAACUGUUUACUUGGAUUGUUUUUCGCUUUACUGUAACUGGAUAUCCUUUAAAUUUUUUGAUUUUCAUGCUAUCAGGAACUACAACUGGAUGAGUUUGUGACAAAUGAGGUGAGGUUUGAAGACAUCAACAAAGCUUUCGAUUUGCUCAUUGAAGGGCAAUGCCUUCGAUGUGUAAUCUAUAUGAGCAAUGAGUAAAUUACUUCUGCGUGUAACAGCCUUUACAUUUAUAUGUACUCUAUGCUAUCAAUAAGCAUGUAAGGUUUCAGAUUCUAAAUGAGUACUUAUUUGCAUCCCUUGCUACCUUGUCUUCUUAUUUUCUUUAAGAGGGAUACACAUGAAAGAAAAAUACUAAAUAAACAUUUAAGACACUGCAAAACCACUAGAUGCGCCAGUGAAGCAGGUGUUGGGGGAAUCCUUGGUUUCCUUUGCUGAACCAAAAUGCCUUAGCCUGUGAACCCCCGAAUUUGCAUCCCUCGGUAUUUCCCCUUCUAUGGUUGCUGUGCCAUAUAAGCUACCGGUAUCUACAUUCCACUUGAAAAACAGGGAGAAAUCAUCAUCGUCGUAAACAGGAACCCAGUGUUUUCCUUGAAGCAUCUCUACCACUGCAUAUGUCCCUUCCGUCAAUAAGUCAUAUCUUGGGUUAGCACUCCAAACCGUGGCAGUUGGUCGAUCUCCCUUUUUGAAUGAUCCACUUUUGGGUAAGUUGAUAUCCUCUUUAAUAACCCCGAAAGUUUGUAUCUGGGGGAGGUGAGUCUCCAGAACAACCAACUAAGAGCCUGAGUUGUACAGAGGAAAGAUGUGGUGGUAAGGGACCUUAAGGAAGGCCUUUGUCUCCCUUUGCCAUCGCUUUGGCUAAUUUCUCGAAUUCUUGAAUGUAAGAUGAUAAUGUGUGAGGACCAUAGAGAGUGGAAGCUAGAUUUAGGUAAGUCUCAUGCCAAACGUGUUAAAGAAUAAAUUUCGCUUAUGGGUUGAGUAUGUACCUCAUAUCUUUGUUGUGUGUGUUAGGAAGACCUGCUAUUACAAUGUGAGUACCCUCGUCAAAUUCACCAUUGCUGUUACUUAUAAGGGUCUCCUUGACUGCUUCCCUUAGCCGCCAACUGGCCAUUGUGGUGAAUUCUGCAAGAAUCGGUAGCUUAGAGAUUGUUAAAUCCAUUCGUACUGGUGUCAAGAGCAGGCCUUAUGGUGAGUGCUCAUGGUGGCUGUUUGUCUCAUAGUAUAUGUCACUUGUGAGGGGUUUUAGUUUUUAGAUUGAUUUACGCAGUAAGGUGUAAACGAAUCUCAGUGAUGUUGGAAUGGGACUGCCUUUGUGUUUUGGUAAAGAAUUUGUCAGUGCGCAUGCGAUGGACAUAGGUAUGAGUUGUGAAUUGUAAAAGAGGACUAAUCUCCAGGGACAGAAAGUAUGAUCAGCUUCCCAACCUGAGCAUUUGAAUAGGAACGGUUGCAGGCUGCAUUUGAUCCCUAAGGUUACAAUAGUUAAAAGAGAAUUUUCUCUCAACUCAGUAAUUCUAAAUAUAUGUACGAAAUGGAGUUCAACUCUCCUAGGGUCCUCAUUUGAGGAUUGUGAGUAGGGAUGGGCAAAUACCCAUUGGUUAUGGGUAAUCGUGGUUACCCGCCUAUUUAGAUUAAACGGUUACGGUUAUGGAUAACCGUUUAGAUAAAUAAACGGUUAUGGGUAUAACCAUUUACCCGUGAAAUUUAAAUAGGCGGUUAUGGGUAUUAACCGUGGUUAUAAACGGCUAACUGUUUACCCAUUUAUUUUAUAUAUGUAAAACUAACACAAAUCAUGUUCUCGAUCCAAUAAUACUUAGCACCCAAUAAAUUAGCAAGGAAUUCAUCGGUCAUUCUCUCAAUAACACAACUACAGGAAUGAUGAUUCUCAUCAUCAAGGAAUUGGCCAAAUUAAUUUAAAUUCUUUGCGAGUAACCGUGAAAUUGAAAGAAAUGCUUUGACAGAAAUGUCUUCUAAACAAUUUUUGUAACCCAAUAAUACCUAGCAAAUAUUAUAUUUACCUUCAUUGGUAACAGUUAAAAAUAUCGUCCCUAAACUAUUAUUUCAAUUAUUGGAAUGGUAUAAGGACUUAAAAAAAAUUAAAAUAUGGAAAUGUAUGAUGAAUGUACCUAUAACGGUGUUUAAUUGUCCGAAAAAAAAAUUAUGACAUUUUUUUUUAAUUUUCAAGUUGUUAAAAAACAUGUAGACGGGUGAAAAAAGGGUAAUGGUAAAAAAAAAAGAUAAACGAGUUAAAAAGGAUAAAUGGGUAAACGUGUAUUAAACGGUUACGGUUAAAUGGGUAUGCGGUUAUGGGUAUGGUUAACCGUUUAUAAACGGUUAUGGGUAUGUGUAUAACCGUUUAGACAAUUACCCAAUGAGUAAACGGUUAUGGGUAAAUUAACUGCAGUUACCCGACCGCCAUAACUAUUGCCUAUCCCUAAUUGUGAGAAUCAUAUGCUACAAAAUUAUAUUAGUUUAGAUAGUUGACAAAGAACAAAAUAAGUUUUCUAAUGGUUUAUAAAUUUUAGGGAACUUUAACGAAAAGCACACGGUACUGUUCACUUUAACGAAAAACCACAUUUUUACACUAAAAAGUCAAUCUUGAUACUAUUCACUUUACCCUUUAUUUUGUCCUUAUCAUUAAAACUCAAAGUUUUCAAGCCCUUUUCAUUAGUUUUCCUUAAAUUUUAAGGUAGUUUUGCUUUAUUAAAUUGUCAAUAUUUUAAACCUUUAAAUUCAAAAUGUGAGGAAGAAAGUUGAAGUCAACAAGAAAAUUAGCUUUUAAAAUUGAAAAAAAAGAAGGAAGAAUUGCUUUCUUCAAGUCAUUUUAGGAUUUUGCUUGCUAUAAAAAAAACAUAGUCAUUUUAAGUUCUAAAUUCCAACAGAUUAGUACACACCUUUCGUUAAUAGGAACCGGAACUGGAACCUUCCGAAAAUUCCCCAAGUUUGCAAUUAGGGCUUUUGUAUUGUAAUUGAAGACCACCGGAACCGGACUUUCCAACGUUGUUGCUUUGCAUCAGCCAGUUGAGGCUUGCGAUCGCCGUAGGAUUGAACGAUUAUCGGGUAUGUAGAUUUGCUUUUUGAAGAUCAAAUGUUUUUGUUUGUUUGUUUGUUUGUUGGAGUUUGGAAAUUAUAUUCUCAGCAUGACAUAUAGCCCGUGAUAUUCGGCAAUUCGGCAUUUGAAGGGUCCAAUGCAAUUCCCAAAUCAAUUAAAUUUCCAGUCUUAUAGGGUUUGACUGCAAAACCCUAAAUAUUUGUUUGCACGUUCAGAUUCAGCUCUGUCGAGCAAUAGCAUCAUCCGGGAUUCUAUUUCGUAUUGCAAAAUCAGACAAUAUCUGUUGUAUUGCUUGUCGAUUCUGCGAAUUAUGUACUAGGAAGUUUGAUGUUUGAUGUUGAAAGGAAAAAUGAGAUGUAUGAUUCUACAGGCAGAUACUAAGGGUUGGAAACUUGAGGUUACUUUCUAAACCAUUUCGACCAGCAUGGAAGAUCAGCACUCCAACGAAGGCGCCAGUUCUGGCAAUGUUGUUGGGGCCACUUCUGAUUCAAAUCUUGAGAUCAAUAUUAAGACUUUAGACUCACAGAUGUACAGUUUUCAAGUUGAUAAAAAUGUGAGUUCUAGUCUUUGGUCGUCUUGCGUAAUGCUUACUUAUAUGGGUUUUAGUUUUGUUAUUUUUCAUAUCUAAACCGUGAGCAAACUGCUAGGAACUACAUGUUUGUCCCUGCCUUUAUCAAGAUAUGAUCCCUUCAAGAUCUUAUUUAUUUUAUAUACUGAGAUGUUUGUACAUAUACAUUUCUCUUUCAGAUGCGAGUUUCACUGUUCAAGGAAAAAAUAGCUGAUCAAACAGGUGUACCAGUCAGUCAGCAGCGGCUGAUUUUCAGGGGAAGGGUGUUAAAAGAUGACCAUCCUCUUUCUGAGUAUCGUAUCCUACUAUUUCGAACAUGUAUUGUUUACGUUAGAUUUAUAUAGGAAUUCUGGUGCGUGUAGUAUGUUCACCCAGGCAGAAUGCUUGAAAUUUGAGUAACUGAAUUAGAUCUCUACCUGUCAUCUGUCAGCUGGGUUGGUUAGUUUAUUGUGUCGUCACAAUACAUAUACACAAACCUCUUGUAUGACAUUUCAAUUUUUUUAAGCUUUCAAAAUUUUAGGUAUUACAGUAGUUAUUGUUGAUCCCCCACUUAGUUUCUAUUGCUAUCCCUUAACCUCUUGUAGAUUUGGAAAAUGGGCACACAUUGCACUUAGUUAUUAGGCAGCCAUCCCAGCCACAACCUUCAUCGGGUACAAGUUCUGGCGAGGCACAUGUGAAUAGUGGUAAAUAAGUAAUUUGAUUUUAGUAGUGUUGGUACUUCUAUCUCAGGUUCAGAGUAAUUUGUUUUUUGAGCAAUGUUGGUGUAUAAGCUUCUUGAUGUAAUUUGGCAGGAAAUGAUGCUAGUGGUGUUCCUCGUGGUCGCAUUGGCCAGAUAUCUCACAGUGUAGUUCUUGGGACAUUUAAUGUUGGAGAUCAAGGUGAAGGCGCUGUUCCUGAUCUUAGUCGGGUUCGUAUUUGCUUCUUGUUGUGUUAAAGUAAUGGAUUUAUAUAUGUGCGUGUGUGUAUAUAUAUUAUAUAUAUAAAUGGGUGAGGAGCCUUAAAGUUGUACUUCCGGAAGCACAUUAUGCUUUAUUCUUUCUUGGUAGCUUAUUGGCACGGUUCUGAAUUCUAUUGGAAUUGGCACCCAGGCUACAACUAAUGGCACAGGCAACCCACAGUUCACUACUUCGGUGAGCAAUGAAUGUUUCUUGAAAUUACAACCAGAUAUAUUAAUAUCCUAAGUAUUUUUCUCACUUGCAAUUGUGGUCCAGAUAAAAUAAAUUGAAACUGCUGUAAUCUUGUAAAACUAAAGAAAAUGUCAUAAGUGUUCAUGGGCUAACGUUCCUUAGGAAAAAA